AAGUUGUAUUGCUAAAAUGGUGAAAUGUUGACGAGAAAUUUAGCAAAAGCCUUCAUUUUAUCUUCUUCUCUUAAUUUUGUUUUCAUUUUCUUUCUUUGAUUUUGCUUGGUUGGGUUUCUCCCUACCAGUAUGUCAGUCUGAACUUGGGCAUUAGGAGACACUGAAUCGUCUUCCACCCGGUAUGGACGUCUCCUUAUUGCUUCUCUUGAUUUUGCGGUUUACUUCUGAAUGUGUUGUGGCUUUACCAGUUCUGAAUGUGUUUUUAUCUUAGUUCUUCAAAAGGGGGCGGGCAGAUGCAGCAAUAAUGUCCUCAUGAUGCUUUUAUUUUUGGUAUAUUCAUGCUUUUAUUUUAGGUAUAUCAUGUGAAGUCGGUGCUGUUUUUUGCUGUUUAACAGAGAAAGUAUCUCUGCCUAUAGAUAUUGUUUGUCUUUUUUCAGAAGCUAGAGAGUCUCUAUCGGAAGAGAUUGUAGAGGUCGUGACUCACUCAAUGUCUAGGUCUCAAACCCCUUUCCAUAUCAGAGAUGACAUGGAACCUUUGGAAGCGAUUCAAGCUGUGGAGAGGGCGGUUGAGGUUGAUCGCAGAGGGACACAGUAGGAGAUGAUGAGGAGAUCUGGGGCAAUGAAUUAAUCACUCCCACUAUCACUCCUAAAGAUAACAACAAUCUCAACCAAGAAAUUGAAACCACAUAAUGCCCCUCAUGCAGCCAUAACAUUGAAGUAAAAGAUUAGGUACUUAUUAAUUUAAGAAGAGGUGGCCAGGUACAAAAUGGUGGAUCUAUUCAGAAAAAUUGCUGAAAUAUCUUUAAACUUUUUGUGUUCGUCAUGGGAGUGACAGACAUGGUGAGUUACUACACCUUUGUUUUUUUCCCUAUUUUAGUUUGAAUUUCAGAUUAGUUUACUGCAGAUUUAAACCAGCUCUCAAUUUUGAAACUCAAAUUCCUUGAACAUGACAUAAAGGGAUAACCCAAAAUAAUUAAGGAAUUGAGACAUUGUAAAGAAUUUAAUAAGAAUUUGACAGCGGCUAUCAGUAAUAUGAAAAGAGUAAGAUGCAAAUCAGAUUGAUGGUGGUGCCAAGGUUUCGGGAAUCAUUACAUACAGAUAUAGCAAUUUGGUUUAGUUAAAAGGUAGAAAAUGCACUCCACUUUGAAAAGUUUAACUUUUUCAUUCAAGUAUUGCCUGAAUCUUUCUUCUCUUUGUUUUUUAAGAAUCCUUUUUUGUUGGUUGAACAAUUUAUUUUGAUUUACACUGUUCUCAAUGAUUCAGGUAUGAAUAAUCUUAAUUGCAACAAGCUUUAUUAUUUCCAUGUUGCUUUUUCACUUGAUUUUUGUCUAAGAAUGUCUUAUAUCUUUUCUUCACCGUCUUGAAAUCACAUUGAUUAUUGGCCUAAUUUUUAAAUUGAUCAUGAGGGGCUAGCCUCGAAAUGUUCUCUCUCGCUCUCUCUACAGGAAAAUAGUUCUUUCUGUUUGUAUCCAUUAAACAAAAUUAGAAUUGAUAUUUGACAUUUUUUAUUUUCCCCUUUUUAUUGAUGCCAAAGUUCAACCUUUUGCAGCUCUCUUCAAUUUCCUCCACACGAUCCUUUGAAACUUUGUGGUUCUGUGCAAACCCGAACUGAUGGGCUGGCUCUCUAUGCACUCAUGUAGAUGGUGGGAUUUGUGAAUUUUGUGCCAACUUCAGUUGAAACUGCGGAGAAAUCGAAGACACGGGGGGACACCUGGUCAUUUGAAGAACUGCAAAUGAAGGUGGAGAGCUAAUUGGAGUUUUUCGGUUCUUGGUUUUCAAUGUAAGACCUUCUGAAAGGAGCUUGGAUCCUUCAGGGUCCGUCUUAGUUUUUUAUACAUAAUAAUCUCAAAUUUUCCUUCAUAGAUCCAAGGCAUCUCUAUAUGCACCUGGUGGUCUCUAUCACAUUGUGGAAUGAAAGCACUUCAGGUUUAGUAUGAUGUUGUCCACUUCUUUCACAUGAGACUUGAUAGAGUAUUGAAGUUUUGUUGAAGUAUGGAAAACUAGAGAAAAAGUUCUCUCUUUCUUCAAAAGAUCUAUUCCAUUCCCCAGUAAGUUUUGCUCAAGUGUCCCUUGCUUACAUUAAUUUCUUCAAAAGAUUUAUAAGCAUUAUGUAUUUCACAUCCAUAGGAUGUAACGUGUUCUUCUUAAUUCUCAUAUAUUCCAUUCCUCUAAUUUUUUUCUUA
Molecule: long non-coding RNA, 2183 nt
Organism: Lotus japonicus
Lineage: Eukaryota; Viridiplantae; Streptophyta; Magnoliopsida; Fabales; Fabaceae
Exons: 4
Source: RefSeq, a predicted model, not a curated record